This 261-nucleotide long non-coding RNA is filed under the name Populus trichocarpa (black cottonwood). RNAcentral describes it as "long non-coding RNA (PTRI_LNC001937)". The record is from RNAcentral. Lineage: Eukaryota; Viridiplantae; Streptophyta; Magnoliopsida; Malpighiales; Salicaceae.
UUUUUUUUAUUUAGUCCCUCAUAAGUUUCUUUCAUUUAGUUUUUAUACCAGAUUUAGUUCUUAUUAUUUUAAUUGCUAUUUAUUUUAUUUUUAAUUUUGAAUAACUAGGAAUUUUACUUCAUGAUUUUUUUUAUAUUUUUUUUUUAAGAGAUAAUUCUAGUCUUAUGACCCGGUCACGUUUCUUAAAGAUUGACCUAGUUUAACUUUGAUCUCUUUUUAGGGUUUUUUUUUUUAAAAAAACUGAUUUUUUUUCAAUUUUAU